RNAcentral lists this ribosomal RNA (253 nucleotides) under uncultured bacterium. RNAcentral describes it as "partial 16S ribosomal RNA". It matches the Rfam family "Bacterial small subunit ribosomal RNA", at positions 524 to 776 of the family's 1533-position model. The record is from RNAcentral.
UACAGAGGGUGCGAGCGUUAAUCGGAAUUACUGGGCGUAAAGCGCGCGUAGGCGGCUUUGCAAGUCGGGUGUGAAAUCCCCGGGCUUAACCUGGGAAUGGCAUUUGGGACUGCAAGGCUGGAGUGUGGCAGAGGAGACUGGAAUUCCUGGUGUAGCAGUGAAAUGCGUAGAUAUCAGGAGGAAUACCGAUGGCGAAGGCAGGUCUCUGGGCUGACACUGACGCUCAUGCACGAAAGCGUGGGGAGCAAACAGG